RNAcentral lists this ribosomal RNA (479 nucleotides) under uncultured bacterium. RNAcentral describes it as "bacterial SSU rRNA". It matches the Rfam family "Bacterial small subunit ribosomal RNA", at positions 49 to 519 of the family's 1533-position model. The record is from RNAcentral.
UUACACAUGCAAGUCGAGCGGUAACAUUUCUAGCUUGCUAGAAGAUGACGAGCGGCGGACGGGUGAGUAACGCGUAGGAAUCUGCCUAGUAGUGGGGGACAACAUGUGGAAACGCAUGCUAAUACCGCAUACGCCCUACGGGGGAAAGGAGGGGAUCUUCGGACCUUUCGCUAUUAGAUGAGCCUGCGUGAGAUUAGCUAGUUGGUGGGGUAAAGGCCUACCAAGGCGACGAUCUCUAGCUGGUCUGAGAGGAUGAUCAGCCACACUGGGACUGAGACACGGCCCAGACUCCUACGGGAGGCAGCAGUGGGGAAUAUUGGACAAUGGGCGCAAGCCUGAUCCAGCCAUGCCGCGUGUGUGAAGAAGGCCUUAGGGUUGUAAAGCACUCUCAGGAGUGAGGAAGGGCGUAUAGUUAAUACCUGUAUGUUUUGACGUUAACUCCAGAAGAAGCACCGGCUAACUCUGUGCCAGCAGCCGCG